RNAcentral lists this ribosomal RNA (2895 nucleotides) under Shigella dysenteriae 1617. Its description in RNAcentral is "bacterial LSU rRNA". It matches the Rfam family "Bacterial large subunit ribosomal RNA". Lineage: Bacteria; Pseudomonadati; Pseudomonadota; Gammaproteobacteria; Enterobacterales; Enterobacteriaceae. The record is from RNAcentral.
ACUAAGCGUACACGGUGGAUGCCCUGGCAGUCAGAGGCGAUGAAGGACGUGCUAAUCUGCGAUAAGCGUCGGUAAGGUGAUAUGAACCGUUAUAACCGGCGAUUUCCGAAUGGGGAAACCCAGUGUGUUUCGACACACUAUCAUUAACUGAAUCCAUAGGUUAAUGAGGCGAACCGGGGGAACUGAAACAUCUAAGUACCCCGAGGAAAAGAAAUCAACCGAGAUUCCCCCAGUAGCGGCGAGCGAACGGGGAGCAGCCCAGAGCCUGAAUCAGUGUGUGUGUUAGUGGAAGCGUCUGGAAAGGCGCGCGAUACAGGGUGACAGCCCCGUACACAAAAAUGCACAUAUUGUGAGCUCGAUGAGUAGGGCGGGACACGUGGUAUCCUGUCUGAAUAUGGGGGGACCAUCCUCCAAGGCUAAAUACUCCUGACUGACCGAUAGUGAACCAGUACCGUGAGGGAAAGGCGAAAAGAACCCCGGCGAGGGGAGUGAAAAAGAACCUGAAACCGUGUACGUACAAGCAGUGGGAGCCUCUUUAUGGGGUGACUGCGUACCUUUUGUAUAAUGGGUCAGCGACUUAUAUUCUGUAGCAAGGUUAACCGAAUAGGGGAGCCGAAGGGAAACCGAGUCUUAACUGGGCGUUAAGUUGCAGGGUAUAGACCCGAAACCCGGUGAUCUAGCCAUGGGCAGGUUGAAGGUUGGGUAACACUAACUGGAGGACCGAACCGACUAAUGUUGAAAAAUUAGCGGAUGACUUGUGGCUGGGGGUGAAAGGCCAAUCAAACCGGGAGAUAGCUGGUUCUCCCCGAAAGCUAUUUAGGUAGCGCCUCGUGAACUCAUCUCGGGGGGUAGAGCACUGUUUCGGCAAGGGGGUCAUCCCGACUUACCAACCCGAUGCAAACUGCGAAUACCGGAGAAUGUUAUCACGGGAGACACACGGCGGGUGCUAACGUCCGUCGUGAAGAGGGAAACAACCCAGACCGCCAGCUAAGGUCCCAAAGUCAUGGUUAAGUGGGAAACGAUGUGGGAAGGCCCAGACAGCCAGGAUGUUGGCUUAGAAGCAGCCAUCAUUUAAAGAAAGCGUAAUAGCUCACUGGUCGAGUCGGCCUGCGCGGAAAGAUGUAACGGGGCUAAACCAUGCACCGAAGCUGCGGCAGCGACACUAUGUGUUGUUGGGUAGGGGAGCGUUCUGUAAGCCUGUGAAGGUGUACUGUGAGGUAUGCUGGAGGUAUCAGAAGUGCGAAUGCUGACAUAAGUAACGAUAAAGCGGGUGAAAAGCCCGCUCGCCGGAAGACCAAGGGUUCCUGUCCAACGUUAAUCGGGGCAGGGUGAGUCGACCCCUAAGGCGAGGCCGAAAGGCGUAGUCGAUGGGAAACAGGUUAAUAUUCCUGUACUUGGUGUUACUGCGAAGGGGGGACGGAGAAGGCUAUGUUGGCCGGGCGACGGUUGUCCCGGUUUAAGCGUGUAGGCUGGUUUUCCAGGCAAAUCCGGAAAAUCAAGGCUGAGGUGUGAUGACGAGGCACUACGGUGCUGAAGCAACAAAUGCCCUGCUUCCAGGAAAAGCCUCUAAGCAUCAGGUAACAUCAAAUCGUACCCCAAACCGACACAGGUGGUCAGGUAGAGAAUACCAAGGCGCUUGAGAGAACUCCGGGUGAAGGAACUAGGCAAAAUGGUGCCGUAACUUCGGGAGAAGGCACGCUGAUAUGUAGGUGAAGUCCCUCGCGGAUGGAGCUGAAAUCAGUCGAAGAUACCAGCUGGCUGCAACUGUUUAUUAAAAACACAGCACUGUGCAAACACGAAAGUGGACGUAUACGGUGUGACGCCUGCCCGGUGCCGGAAGGUUAAUUGAUGGGGUUAGCGCAAGCGAAGCUCUUGAUCGAAGCCCCGGUAAACGGCGGCCGUAACUAUAACGGUCCUAAGGUAGCGAAAUUCCUUGUCGGGUAAGUUCCGACCUGCACGAAUGGCGUAAUGAUGGCCAGGCUGUCUCCACCCGAGACUCAGUGAAAUUGAACUCGCUGUGAAGAUGCAGUGUACCCGCGGCAAGACGGAAAGACCCCGUGAACCUUUACUAUAGCUUGACACUGAACAUUGAGCCUUGAUGUGUAGGAUAGGUGGGAGGCUUAGAAGUGUGGACGCCAGUCUGCAUGGAGCCGACCUUGAAAUACCACCCUUUAAUGUUUGAUGUUCUAACGUUGACCCGUAAUCCGGGUUGCGGACAGUGUCUGGUGGGUAGUUUGACUGGGGCGGUCUCCUCCUAAAGAGUAACGGAGGAGCACGAAGGUUGGCUAAUCCUGGUCGGACAUCAGGAGGUUAGUGCAAUGGCAUAAGCCAGCUUGACUGCGAGCGUGACGGCGCGAGCAGGUGCGAAAGCAGGUCAUAGUGAUCCGGUGGUUCUGAAUGGAAGGGCCAUCGCUCAACGGAUAAAAGGUACUCCGGGGAUAACAGGCUGAUACCGCCCAAGAGUUCAUAUCGACGGCGGUGUUUGGCACCUCGAUGUCGGCUCAUCACAUCCUGGGGCUGAAGUAGGUCCCAAGGGUAUGGCUGUUCGCCAUUUAAAGUGGUACGCGAGCUGGGUUUAGAACGUCGUGAGACAGUUCGGUCCCUAUCUGCCGUGGGCGCUGGAGAACUGAGGGGGGCUGCUCCUAGUACGAGAGGACCGGAGUGGACGCAUCACUGGUGUUCGGGUUGUCAUGCCAAUGGCACUGCCCGGGUAGCUAAAUGCGGAAGAGAUAAGUGCUGAAAGCAUCUAAGCACGAAACUUGCCCCGAGAUGAGUUCUCCCUGACUCCUUGAGAGUCCUGGAAGGAACGUUGAAGACGACGACGUUGAUAGGCCGGGUGUGUAAGCGCAGCGAUGCGUUGAGCUAACCGGUACUAAUGAACCGUGAGGCUUAACC